Molecule: long non-coding RNA, 271 nt
Organism: Boleophthalmus pectinirostris (great blue-spotted mudskipper)
Lineage: Eukaryota; Metazoa; Chordata; Actinopteri; Gobiiformes; Gobiidae
Exons: 3
Source: RefSeq, a predicted model, not a curated record
AAAAAAGGCGUUAACAUGGAUCUGGAGGAACCAGCAUCUUUCAAUUAAAGUGCUACUGUGCCUCAAGAUUAAAGAGAUACGCUGUACUGUGACUGCUCCCUCUAUAACGCCCCUGGGCAGUGGAUUCAACAAGCGCCAGCCUCCUUCACCACUUACUUAUUCAUCACAGACGGGUGUGUGGAGACUGGAGCCUUUCUCAGCUGACACGCACCAGACUUAAGAGAGAAAGAGGAAGAGAAGGAGAAAGAAAGAGAGGCCAGCAGACGGAAUU